GUGCUCACUUUGGCAGUACAUAUACUAAAAUUGGAAUGAUACAGAGAUUAGCAUGGCCUCUGAGCAAGGAUGACAUGCAAAUUCAUAAAGUAUUCCAUAUAAAA
RNAcentral lists this small nuclear RNA (104 nucleotides) under Piliocolobus tephrosceles (Ugandan red Colobus). The record is from RNAcentral. Lineage: Eukaryota; Metazoa; Chordata; Mammalia; Primates; Cercopithecidae.